Molecule: ribosomal RNA, 332 nt
Filed under: uncultured Chloroflexota bacterium
Lineage: Bacteria; Bacillati; Chloroflexota
Description: bacterial SSU rRNA
Rfam family: Bacterial small subunit ribosomal RNA
Source: RNAcentral
GAUGAACGCUGGCGGCGUGCUUAAUACAUGCAAGUCGAACGGAGAGUCUUUGUAGCAAUACGAGGGCUUCUUAGUGGCGAACGGGUGCGUAACGCGUUGGUGACCUGCCCCGAAGUGUGGGAUAACAGUCCGAAAGGACUGCUAAUACCGCAUGUGGUUUUCCGGCCUAGAUACCGGAUCUCUAAAGCAGUAAUGCGCUUCGGGAGGGACCUGCGUCCCAUCAGCUAGUUGGUGAGGUAACGGCUCACCAAGGCUACGACGGGUAGGGGACCUGAGAGGGUGGUCCCCCGACACUGGCACUGAAACACGGGCCAGACACCUACGGGAGGCAG